Molecule: unclassified non-coding RNA, 372 nt
Filed under: soil metagenome
Description: partial contains 5.8S ribosomal RNA, internal transcribed spacer 2, and large subunit ribosomal RNA
Rfam family: 5.8S ribosomal RNA (bases 1-120)
Source: RNAcentral
GAUGAAGAACGCAGCGAAAUGCGAUAAGUAAUGUGAAUUGCAGAAUUCAGUGAAUCAUCGAAUCUUUGAACGCACAUUGCGCCCGCCAGUAUUCUGGCGGGCAUGCCUGUUCGAGCGUCAUUAUCACCCCUCAAGCCCUCGGCUUGGUGUUGGACGGUUUGGUGGAGGCCCCCUCGGGGGCUCCUGCCCCUCCCAAAGACAAUGACGGCGGCCUCGUUGGACCCCCGGUACACUGAGUUCUUCACGGGACACGUAUCGGACACAUGGGUUUACGGGACACGGUCUGCCUCCCCUCAGGGAGAAUCUUUCUAAGGUUGACCUCGGAUCAGGUAGGGAUACCCGCUGAACUUAAGCAUAUCAAUAAGCGGAGGA